AGAGUCCAGGCGUGGCUUGUCUGGGUCCUCUACUCACAGACCCACGAGGCUACAUCCAGGCAUCAGUUGGGCCGUAUCCUCACCAGAGGCUUAAAUGGAGAGAGAUCUGCUUCCAAGCUCCAUCAACCAAAUUAAUUUCAACAUAGAGGUGGGACUCCAGGGAGGCAGGACCUGAGGUGCUCAAGGGCUCAGUCUGGUCAACACGCGCUCCCCAAGUGCCCGCUCUGCCGCACUCGUGACUGGCCAUGAGGAGGCUCGAGGUUGUAGGAGACACUUCCCCUGCCUCUAGGGGCUCACGGUCUGGGAGGGGAGACCAACUCCACCACUGACUGCAAUAGACAGUGGAGAGAAUUUCUGAGAAGUACUGUAGCAAGGGCCCAGGAAGAAGUGGUUAAUUCCAUGUGGGGCUCUGAGAAAGCACUUGAAGGAGAGGCAUUUAAAUGGGUCUCUGUCAGAUGGUAUCAGAGACUUCUAAUAGUUCCCCCAAUAGCCUCUUUCCUUUUCUUCUACAGUAUAUUACAAGAUCAGAGGUUUCGCCAGGUACAUGAUUCAAAAUAAAUUUCCCAGCCUCCCUUGCAGCUGGCUAAGAGGAUAUAAAUGGAAAAGCAGCGAGCCCCGUGUAGCAGGCGUGGCGGUGGCAGGAACAGCAUCUCUCCUCCAUCCAUUGGGCAAACAUUUUUGGAGCCAGACGCCGUGGGGACCUUGGCGCUCGCCAGCUCCGGAAGCUCCGUACUGCCCUGGGGUGCAGCUGAGCCCGGGGCUAACUGGAAGCAGCCUGGAGGACCUUGACCGCUCACAGGGUCCUGGAAAACUACAUCUGCCAAUGUCCCAUCUCAACUCCAGAAGGGUGACUCAGGGUCCUGCAGACAGAGAAAGUCCCUUCUUAUUAAUGAGGAGGGAGGGGCGCCUGGGUGGCUUGGUCGGUUAAGCGUCCGACUUCAGCUCAGGUCAUGAUCUCACGGUCCGUGAGUUCGAGCCCCGCGUCAGGCUCUGUGCUGACAGCUCAGAGCCUGGAGCCUGUUUCCGAUUCUGUGUCUCCCUCUCUCUCUGCCCCUCCCCUGUUCAUGCUCUGUCUCUCUCUGUCUGAAAAAUAAAUAAACGUUAAAAAAAAUGUUUUUUUAAAUG
Molecule: long non-coding RNA, 1125 nt
Filed under: Felis catus (domestic cat)
Lineage: Eukaryota; Metazoa; Chordata; Mammalia; Carnivora; Felidae
Description: lncRNA (ENSFCAG00000046407.2)
Source: RNAcentral